AUUGAACGCUGGCGGCAGGCCUAACACAUGCAAGUCGAGCGGAUGAAGGGAGCUUGCUCCUGGAUUCAGCGGCGGACGGGUGAGUAAUUCCUAGGAAUCUGCCUGGUAGUGGUUGAUAACGUCCGGAAACGGGCGCUAAUACCGCAUACGUCCUGAGGGAGAAAGUGGGGGAUCUUCGGACCUCACGCUAUCAGAUGAGCCUAGGUCGGAUUAGCUAGUUGGUGGGGUAAAGGCCUACCAAGGCGACGAUCCGUAACUGGUCUGAGAGGAUGAUCAGUCACACUGGAACUGAGACACGGUCCAGACUCCUACGGGAGGCAGCAGUGGGGAAUAUUGGACAAUGGGCGAAAGCCUGAUCCAGCCAUGCCGCGUGUGUGAAGAAGGUCUUCGGAUUGUAAAGCACUUUAAGUUGGGAGGAAGGGCAGUAAGUUAAUACCUUGCUGUUUUGACGUUACCAAAAGAAUAAGCACCGGCUAACUUCGUG
This 484-nucleotide ribosomal RNA is filed under the name uncultured bacterium. RNAcentral's name for it is "partial 16S ribosomal RNA". It matches the Rfam family "Bacterial small subunit ribosomal RNA", at positions 30 to 507 of the family's 1533-position model. The record is from RNAcentral.